GGCAAGUUUCUUCGGGGCGGAGCUCGACCGCCAACACAAGAAAUAGUCGCGUUCAUCGACGACAAUCGCGAGGAUUUCGGGGUCGAGCCCAUCUGCACGGUCCUGCGCAGCGCAGGCCUGCAGGUGGCCCCG
Molecule: non-coding RNA, 132 nt
Organism: Mycobacterium sp. KMS
Lineage: Bacteria; Bacillati; Actinomycetota; Actinomycetes; Mycobacteriales; Mycobacteriaceae
Source: Rfam